Molecule: long non-coding RNA, 923 nt
Filed under: Jatropha curcas
Lineage: Eukaryota; Viridiplantae; Streptophyta; Magnoliopsida; Malpighiales; Euphorbiaceae
Description: long non-coding RNA (JCUR_LNC000219)
Source: RNAcentral
AAUAACAACCAUAUAGUCAUAAUAGGAUCUCACUCCUCAAAUUCACAACACUCAAAGAAAAGAAACGAUGGGUAGAAGCUUUCAAAUUUUUGUCAUUCUUGUGAUGGUUGUUUUCAUCUUUAAAGGUAAACUUUCGCGGUACAUAUUAUAGUUCGGUUUUCUCUAUUUACAACUAUUGGUGUAGAAAAUAUAAGGAAAAAUUACAAUAUAAUUCCUGUAAUUUGCGAAAUAUAAUUAAUUUAUUCAUAUCUUUUAGAAAAUAGAUUAAAAUAUCUUUAUAGUUUGCUUCCGUCAUCAAUCAAAAUUUUGGAUCUUUUUUGUUAAGUAACUUAUGAAAUGAUUAAAAUAUCACUUUUAUUUUUAAAAAUACAGAGACGGACUAGUUGUAUUUUGCAAAGCACAGGGAUCGCACUGUAAUUUUUUCAAAAUAUAAUUAUUCUUAUCACUUAAUUUAGGAGCAUAUCAAUUACUUAACAAAAUUAUCGAUUUGUAGAAGAUUAUUUUUUUCCUGUAUUUAUACUUUAUAUUGAAGAAAAUAAUUAAUUAUAUUAAAUAAAUUUGAUGGUUACAGGAAAUGAAGUGUUUGCAGCAACUAGACGCGUCUGUGCAAAGCAAUAUCCUCUUCGUAAUUGCACCGAUAAAUCAUGUAAUGAUUUGUGCGAGAAGAAUCAUGGCAAUUCUCGUGGGUUUUGCGCAUAUAAUGGUCCAUUAUACUGUGGCUGUUUAUAUCCCUGUGGAAAUGAGGAAAAUUUAAAAUAUUAAGUUCGAAGGGGCUAAAGUCUAAAUAAAAAGUUUUGAGAGGAUAUAUUUGUAUAACAAUAAUUUACAAUUUCAAUCCACCCUCAAAACUCUUUCCAGUUUUUGCCCCUUAUUUGUCUGUUAUUGUGAUAGAAAGAAGUAAUUCAAUUCAAUAAUAUUUAAAA